This is a long non-coding RNA of Cyprinus carpio (common carp), 1164 nucleotides long. NCBI's taxonomy places the organism in Eukaryota, Metazoa, Chordata, Actinopteri, Cypriniformes, Cyprinidae. The record is from Ensembl.
GUCAUGUGGAAUUAUUUUGUGCAGCUGACCUUUUAAAAAUUAAUGUAAUGACUUUUAAUGAUGACAGAUGGAAUGCACACAUCCCUACUGAACAGGUUUUUACAGAUAAUGCAAUCUAUUUGAAGCACUGCAAUGGAAAUCACUAUGAAGUUGUUACUUGUGUUAAACAUAAAAUUCAAGAAAAUGUAUGUUCAAAAGCAUGUAACAUUGAAGUGGAUGAUCAGAGCACAACUCGCAAUUUGCGAAAAAGGAAAUUAAAUGACAUAGCAGAGUAUUCUAAAAGUAAAAGAGAACGUCAGCAAUACCACAGCGACUCCAAUUUCAGACAGAAAAAAAUUGAGAACAUUAGAACGAAAUACUGUGAAGACAGUGAUUACAGGCAGAAAAAGAUUGAGAACAUCAGAACGAAAUACUGUGAAGACAGUGAUUUUAAGAAGAAAAAACUGGAAAAUAUUAGAGCUAAAUAUAAGAACAAUAUUAAUGUACAACAGUCAAAAUGUGAAAAAUCAAAGGAUAAAUAUCGCAGAAACCCAACCUUUAAAGCAAGUGUAUGUGAAUAUUCAAAGAAUAAAUACAGCAAAAACCCCACCUUUAAAGCAAGCGUACGUGAAUACUCUAAAAAGAAAUAUCAUGACAAUGAAAAUUUCAGAAUGAGUAUAAUACAAAAAAAAGAGCUGAAAUGUCUGCAAAACAGAAGGACAGACAGAAAGAUAUCGAUUUCACUAUUAAUCAGUUUCAUCAAGAAGUCAGUACAGGCCCAGAAUUUGUUUGCUGUGUUUGUCAUCGUUUAUUGUUCAGAAAACAGGUUAUUGAAUGUAAAAGAGAUUGCUAUAAAAUCAGAGGUCAACAAAUUACAGAUUUGGCUGAAAGAUGUAUUACAAAAAAGUAUUUACACAUAUGCAAUACUGAAUGUGAAAAUAGAUGCCAGUUAUCAGGUAAUCCAGCUUGUAAAUUGUGGAUUUGCUAUACAUGCCAUCGUAAAAUUCUGGGUGGAAGAUUGCCUGAAGAGAGUAUUGCCAACAACAUGCAUUUGGUGGACAUUCCAAAAGAACUAAAAGGUCUAAACUCAUUGGAGGAACAUCUUAUUGCACGCAAUAUUCCUUUUAUGAAGUUGCUUUGUCUUCCACGUGGAAAACAGAAAGGCUGUCAUGGGCCGGUUGUUUC